AUUCUUAUCUAAGUUUGACACCUAUGUCAAGGAGAAUCUGAUUUAAAGCUUCCGAGGUAUUGUGAGGUAUCGCAGGGAACUCAAUGGAGAUCAGAGAUCCACCAAAUCCAGGGACAAGAGCAGGGGCAGCUAUUCUCUGUCUGGGUCCUGCUCUCUUACAGUCAUUCUUGCUGUGUCUUACUUUCUCUGGUAAAAUUUGGAUAAUUGACAGGGUAAUUGUCCUAAAGAACAGAGAUGAAAGGUUAAGAAUAAUUCCUAAGUCAUCCUGGCAACGACAGUCAAGUAGAUCAACUUUUUUCCGGAUUCCUAAAAUGAGACCUCUGCUAUUGACCCACUAAGCAUUUGGGUAUUCCUUCCUCUGGAAUUCUUCUUGAUUCAAAUAAUGAGAAAGGAUUCCUUACAUUUCUGAGUACCAUUAUCUGUCACUACUGUGCUGUUUUUUACCAUCUUCACAACUUGUUCAUAUCAGUCAUGCAAUUUAUUAGGAGGAAUUUACUGGAAGAAUGUGGUUGCUUCAUUAAUUCAGAAUUCAUUUAUUUGAAUGUGGCCAAUGCGAGUUAAUGUUACUGCUUUCCUGAAAAGUAAUUAAAAACAAUUCAGCGACUGUAGCUUUGAAAACACUUUAAAAUAUACAUUCUUAGUCGUUUGGUAAAGUAUCUUUAGAAAAUUGGGCACUUUCAUUUCCAGUUGCUUUUUUUUUUUUUUUUUUUUUUUUUUUUUGAGUAAUUUUAGCCAGUUCCAGCUGGACUUGCCAUAGUCUUCAAGGGCAAGUUGAUGUCAUGCUGAACCGUAUGUGUUAUGCUGAUAAUCAGCAUCAUUGGACCUGAAAUACUGCCAUCUUUCUUUUGUGUGAUUGACCUUGUUAUUUUAAAGGUGGCAGGGACAGGGGGAGGAAUUUGGCAAAGCAUUGAGAAAUCAGAACACUUCAUAGCUCAGCAGUUCAUUCUAGACAUUAAGGUCAGACCAGGUGCCAAAUAAUCUGACAAAUUUGGAAUGAGCAGCAGGACAGCUACCUAAAGAACGUCAGAAGUUCACAAUGUCACCAUAGCAGCACAAAAAUAGGAUAGCUAACUAGCAAUCCUUUUCAUCAUUUGGUUAAUAUUGUUUGCAGAAACAAUGAACUCUUCCUGUUUAUUUUCUGAAGAGGCUGUAUGGAUGUAGAACAUGUCAAUAAAAAUGGAUUCUUACAUAGUCUGGGAAUAGUU
RNAcentral lists this long non-coding RNA (1205 nucleotides) under Vulpes vulpes (red fox). Its description in RNAcentral is "lncRNA (ENSVVUG00000010688.1)". Lineage: Eukaryota; Metazoa; Chordata; Mammalia; Carnivora; Canidae. The record is from RNAcentral.